UACAGAGGGUGCAAGCGUUAAUCGGAAUUACUGGGCGUAAAGCGUGCGCAGGCGGUUAUGCAAGACAGAUGUGAAAUCCCCGGGCUCAACCUGGGAACUGCAUUUGUGACUGCAUGGCUAGAGUGCGGCAGAGGGGGAUGGAAUUCCGCGUGUAGCAGUGAAAUGCGUAGAUAUGCGGAGGAACACCGAUGGCGAAGGCAAUCCCCUGGGCCUGCACUGACGCUCAUGCACGAAAGCGUGGGGAGCAAACAGG
This 253-nucleotide ribosomal RNA is filed under the name uncultured bacterium. RNAcentral describes it as "partial 16S ribosomal RNA". It matches the Rfam family "Bacterial small subunit ribosomal RNA", at positions 524 to 776 of the family's 1533-position model. The record is from RNAcentral.